This 468-nucleotide ribosomal RNA is filed under the name uncultured bacterium. RNAcentral describes it as "partial 16S ribosomal RNA". It matches the Rfam family "Bacterial small subunit ribosomal RNA", at positions 28 to 507 of the family's 1533-position model. The record is from RNAcentral.
GACGAACGCUGGCGGCGUGCUUAACACAUGCAAGUCGAACGGAAAGGCCCUGCUUUUGUGGGGUGCUCGAGUUGCGAACGGGGGAGUAACACGUGAGUAACCUGCCCUUGACUUUGGGAUAACUUCAUGAAACUUGGGCUAAUACCGGAUAGGAGCUCCUGCUGCAUGGUGGGGGUUGGAAGGUUUCGGCGGUUGGUGAGGGACUCGCGGCGUAUCAGCUUGUUGGUUGGGUAGUGGGUUACCAAGGCUUUGAGGGGUAGCCGGCCUGGGAGGGUAACAGGCCACACUGGGCUUGAGCUACGGCACAGCCUCCUACGGGAGGGAGCAGUGCAGAAUAGUGCAUAAUGGGCGGAAGGAUGAUGUAGCACAGCCGCGUGCGGGAUGACGUCAUUCGGGUUGUAAACCGAUUUCGCCUGUGACGAAGCGUGAGUGACGGUAAUGGGUAAAGAAGCACCGGCUAACUACGUG